AGAACGAACGCUGGCGGCAUGCCUAACACAUGCAAGUCGAACGAGACCUUCGGGUCUAGUGGCGCACGGGUGCGUAACGCGUGGGAAUCUACCCUUGGGUUCGGAAUAACAGUUGGAAACGACUGCUAAUACCGGAUGAUGACGUAAGUCCAAAGAUUUAUCGCCCAGGGAUGAGCCCGCGUAGGAUUAGCUAGUUGGUGAGGUAAAGGCUCACCAAGGCGACGAUCCUUAGCUGGUCUGAGAGGAUGAUCAGCCACACUGGGACUGAGACACGGCCCAGACUCCUACGGGAGGCAGCAGGUGGGGAAUAUUGGACAAUGGGCGAAAGCCUGAUCCAGCAAUGCCGCGUGAGUGAUGAAGGCCUUAGGUUGUAAAGUCUCUUUUACCCGGGAAGAUAAUGACUGUACGGAGAAUAAGCUCCGGACAACUCCGUGCCGGCAGCCGC
RNAcentral lists this ribosomal RNA (445 nucleotides) under uncultured soil bacterium. RNAcentral's name for it is "bacterial SSU rRNA". It matches the Rfam family "Bacterial small subunit ribosomal RNA", at positions 26 to 518 of the family's 1533-position model. The record is from RNAcentral.